GGGGGAGCAAUAUGAGUACUGAACCAAAUCCCUGAUGUAAUUGCUUUUUAUAAUGACAACACAUUGAAAAUAACAACACAUAGAUGUUGUCAUGACACAACGGUGUUAGCAAAAUGAUGAAGAUGAAGUUUUAAUGAUGCCUAUAUCAAGUCAAGAUAUAUCAAGAUUCAAGAAAAUCCUUUGAAGACUUGCUUUGCUA
Molecule: long non-coding RNA, 199 nt
Filed under: Vigna radiata
Lineage: Eukaryota; Viridiplantae; Streptophyta; Magnoliopsida; Fabales; Fabaceae
Description: long non-coding RNA (VRAD_LNC001975)
Source: RNAcentral